RNAcentral lists this long non-coding RNA (741 nucleotides) under Elaeis guineensis (African oil palm). Its description in RNAcentral is "long non-coding RNA (EGUI_LNC055838)". Lineage: Eukaryota; Viridiplantae; Streptophyta; Magnoliopsida; Arecales; Arecaceae. The record is from RNAcentral.
CUGAGGAUAUGGAGAGACACAAAACUUCCUACACAGUGUUGAAUGCUUGUAUGCGAGAAGGAGCUUUAGUCACCGAUCAUAUACUGUACAAAAUUGAGUAGAUUAAAUAUCUUAGCAAACUUGACUUUCCGUUGCAUGAACAGUUAGGCAAGGAUGCAAUAAGCUUCUGAUCAGAUCGAAGUCUCGUGUGGAUACCCGUAGAGGUCGGAUGCUUGUGUGGCUACAAAGGACCUUCAAAAGACAUCUAUAAUCAUCAGUUCGCGGUGAAGAUCGACUGUGCCAAGGUAUGUUCUUUAUUUAUUUUUUUUUAUUUAAUUUCUGUAUCUGAAUCUUAUCUCUUAUAUGUCGAUCAUGUUUAUGAUUUGAAGAUUUGAUCUUAUGCAUGCUUAGAUUAAAUUAGAUUUAAUCUAAAAAUUUUAAAAUUUUACUGUAUACUUAUUUUGAAAAUUUUUGCAUACAUAAAACUAUAAAAAUUUAAUAGUGAUAUCAGAGCCACAUCAUAUGCAUGAGAUUAGAAUUUUCAUCUAAAAUCUGUAGAGAAAAUUUUCAAAUCUAAAAUAUUUUGACGUCGUUCUGACAUAAGUGUAUGAUUGUCCUACAAUGAUGUUAAAAUUUUUAAUUAAAUUAAAAUUUUAGAUCUAAUUUUUCCAGCAUAUAUAUGAUAUAUGUUUUGUUGUUUAAAUCUGAAAAGAGUUUUGAGAUCUAUUUUUAAUUCAUAUAUGUGAUAUAUGAAAUCAUGUU